GGUUGUUUGGCCGAGCGGUCUAAGGCGCCUGAUUCAAGGGAAAAAAAUUCUUUGACUGUGGAACACCGCAGGAACACUCAGGUAUCGUAAGAUGCAAGAGUUCGAAUCUCUUAGCAACCA
RNAcentral lists this transfer RNA (120 nucleotides) under Naumovozyma castellii. Its description in RNAcentral is "tRNA-Leu". It matches the Rfam family "tRNA". From Rfam's summary of the family: Transfer RNA (tRNA) molecules are approximately 80 nucleotides in length. Their secondary structure includes four short double-helical elements and three loops (D, anti-codon, and T loops). Lineage: Eukaryota; Fungi; Ascomycota; Saccharomycetes; Saccharomycetales; Saccharomycetaceae. The record is from RNAcentral.